This 696-nucleotide ribosomal RNA is filed under the name uncultured bacterium. RNAcentral describes it as "bacterial SSU rRNA". It matches the Rfam family "Bacterial small subunit ribosomal RNA", at positions 8 to 702 of the family's 1533-position model. The record is from RNAcentral.
AGAGUUUGAUCCUGGCUCAGGAUGAACGCUAGCGGCAGGCCUAAUACAUGCAAGCCGAACGGUAACAGGUCUUUCGGGAUGCUGACGAGUGGCGAACGGGUGCGUAACGCGUAUGCAACCUGCCCACUACCGGGAAAUAGCCCGGGGAAACCCGGAUUAAUGUCCCAUAAAGCAGGGGGUCCGCAUGGAUCUAUUGUUAAAGAUUAAUUGGUAGUGGAUGGGCAUGCGUAGGAUUAGCUAGUUGGUAGUGUAACGGACUACCAAGGCGACGAUCCUUAGGGGUUCUGAGAGGAUGAUCCCCCACACUGGUACUGAGAUACGGACCAGACUCCUACGGGAGGCAGCAGUAGGGAAUAUUGGGCAAUGGGUGAGAGCCUGACCCAGCCAUGCCGCGUGCAGGGAGACGGCCCUCAGGGUUGUAAACUGCUUUUCUACGGGAAGAAAGAGGAUCUGCGGGUCCAGUUGACGGUACCGUAGGAAUAAGCACCGGCUAACUCCGUGCCAGCAGCCGCGGUAAUACGGAGGGUGCAAGCGUUGUCCGGAUUUAUUGGGUUUAAAGGGUACGUAGGCGGGUGUCUAAGUCAGUGGUGAAAGCCUGCAGCUCAACUGUAGAAUUGCCAUUGAUACUGGACAUCUUGAGUGCAGUAGAGGUGGGCAGAAUUCAUGGUGUAGCGGUGAAAUGCAUAGAUACCAUGA